GACCUCGGAUCAGGUAGGGAUACCCCCUGAACUUUAGCAUAUCAUAACGGAGGAAAAAAACCACAGGAUGCUCUAGAGAA
RNAcentral lists this ribosomal RNA (80 nucleotides) under Cladonia squamosa. RNAcentral describes it as "partial 28S ribosomal RNA". The record is from RNAcentral. Lineage: Eukaryota; Fungi; Ascomycota; Lecanoromycetes; Lecanorales; Cladoniaceae.